UUUUUUUUUUUUUUUUUGUUAUUAAUUAUUUGUGAAUUUAUACUUUUUUAAAAAGAAUUAAUCAUGGCCUUAAUAUGUAUCGGUUCUAUUUGCUUUUCUGUGUUCCAAGUAGUUGUUUUACUUUUACUUUGUAUUAAUUUUUUUUACUCUCAUAUUAAAAAAUUUAUUCCUCAACGAUUUUUAAAAAAUAAUGAUAUAAAAAGACAAAUAACUAACAUUUUAGAAUCGAAAAAGAAAAACAAACAGUAUGAGGAAAGUCAAUAUAUAAAACUACCCCAAAAAAAAACUUUAAAAGACAUAUUUGACUUAACAGAAACACAAUCUAUUGUUUGUAAAUUUGGGAGUACACGUUGUAAACCAUGUAAUGCUAUUCAUGAAUAUUUUAAGAAUCAAAAAAGUAUUUACGUUGUUACACUAGUUGACAUCGAUGUAGAUAUUCAUGAGUCGUUAGCGAAAGAAUACAACAUAAGAGCUUUACCUACGUUUGAGUUUUACUUUUUAUUAAAUAAUGAAUGGGUUAUGGCAGAACGGGUAAUAAAUUACUUUUUUUUGAGCAAAAAAAAAAAAAAAAAAAAAUGGGCAAUAUAUAUAUAU
RNAcentral lists this long non-coding RNA (594 nucleotides) under Piliocolobus tephrosceles (Ugandan red Colobus). RNAcentral's name for it is "lncRNA (ENSPTEG00000006998.1)". The record is from RNAcentral. Lineage: Eukaryota; Metazoa; Chordata; Mammalia; Primates; Cercopithecidae.